This 404-nucleotide ribosomal RNA is filed under the name uncultured bacterium. RNAcentral describes it as "partial 16S ribosomal RNA". It matches the Rfam family "Bacterial small subunit ribosomal RNA", at positions 28 to 526 of the family's 1533-position model. The record is from RNAcentral.
GAUGAACGCUGACAGAAUGCUUAACACAUGCAAGUCAACUGUGGCGGACGGGUGAGUAACGAGUAAAGAACUUGCCUCACAGUUAGGGACAACAUUUGGAAACGAAUGCUAAUACCUGAUACUGUGAGAGAGCUUUGCGUCCCAUUAGCUAGUUGGAGAGGUAACGGCGCACCAAGGCGAUGCUGGGUAGCCGGCCUGAGAGGGUGAUCGUCCACAAGGGGACUGAGACAAGGCCCUUACUCCUGCGGGAGGCAGCAGUGGGGAAUAUUGGACAAUGGACCAAAGUCUGAUCCAGAAAUUCUGUGUGCACGAUGAAGUUUUCGGAAUGUAAAGUGCUUUCAGUUGGGAAGCGGUACCAACAGAAGAAGUGACGGCUAAAUACGUGCCAGCAGCCGCGGUAAUUC